GUGAUUCAGGUCUCCCCUCUCAGUCUCCUCUUCCACAGAAUUAGGGAGACUUCUCAAAUAUCUCCAGGAUCCCUUUCAAAUACGUAGUUUAGGCUUCUGAUAAAUUUUCCAAAUUUAGGCAGGAGAUCCCCACAGCUAAGUUUCUUUCCUCAUUUGUAUUCAGCAAGUGCUCAGAGAUAUAAAGAGACCCCCUGCCCACUAUGGGCAACCAGGUGCUCUGCUGGGUGGCCCUUUGUCUCUUGGGAGCAGGCACCAUGGAUGGUGGAAUCACUCAGAGCCCAAAAUACCUGAUCAGAGAAGAAGGAAAAGAUGUGACCCUGGAAUGUGAACAGAGUUUGGAUUAUGAUUACAUGUACUGGUACCGACAGGACCCAGGGCAGGGACUGAGACUCAUCUACUACUCGCUGUUUGUAAAAGAUAUUCAGAAUGGAGACUUAUCUGAAGGCUACAGGGUCUCCCGAGGAGAAGGCAUUCUUUCCUCUCACUGCAAUAUCGACUCAAAAGAACCAGACAUCCCUGUAUCUCUGUGCCAGUAGUAGAGACACAGUGAAGCACUGCCACCUCCUCUCUGUGCAUAAAUGUGUCCCAAGUCCUGCUUCUCCACCAGGUGGCAGGGCUUUUCUGGCCUCAGUACUCUGCCCUGCUGGCUUCCUUCCACCUCAAACAGGCCUCCAAAGCGGCUGCUGCCAUCAACACUCUUUGUUGAAUGGCAGGGUAGUUCAGUGA
Molecule: non-coding RNA, 726 nt
Organism: Equus quagga
Lineage: Eukaryota; Metazoa; Chordata; Mammalia; Perissodactyla; Equidae
Source: the annotation of a RefSeq genome assembly